AGAACGAACGCUGGCGGCGUGGAUAAGACAUGCAAGUCGAGCGCUGAUUACAGGGUAGCAAUAUUCUGUAGUUGGAGCGGCGCAAGGGUGCGUAACACGUGGGUAAUCUGCCAUGAAGUUCGGGAUAACUCGCUGAAAGGCGAGCUAAUACCGAAUGUGAAAAUUAGGAGGCAUCUUCCGAUUUUCAAAGCUGGGGACCGUAAGGCCUGGCGCUUCAUGAUGAGCCCGCGGCCUAUCAGCUAGUUGGUGAGGUAACGGCUCACCAAGGCUAAGACGGGUAGCUGGUCUGAGAGGACGACCAGCCACACUGGAACUGAGACACGGUCCAGACACCUACGGGUGGCAGCAGUCGAGAAUUUUCACAAUGGGGGAAACCCUGAUGGAGCGACGCGCGUGGGGAUGAUGGCUUCGGCCCGUAACCCUGUCAUUCGCGAACAAGUUGGUUCAAUUAAUAACUGAACCAUUGAUAGUAGCGGAAGAGGAAGGGACGGCUAAC
Molecule: ribosomal RNA, 496 nt
Filed under: uncultured bacterium
Lineage: Bacteria
Description: SSU rRNA
Rfam family: Bacterial small subunit ribosomal RNA
Source: RNAcentral